UAAUUUUAAAUUCUUUUUAAUGGAAAAAUGAAAAUUAUGAAGAAUAUCAUUUUCCAGGUCUCGUCACUGUAAAUUUCCAAGCAGUUGAAGCAGCGAAUUGAAGAAAAGGGUGUUGGGUAGUUCCGCUGACUGCGUCCACCACCACCACCACCACCUUACUCUUCUUCUUCCCAUGUCGUUUCCUUUACGUCACAGUUUUAUUUUCAUAUACAAUGAC
RNAcentral lists this long non-coding RNA (217 nucleotides) under Ricinus communis (castor bean). RNAcentral's name for it is "long non-coding RNA (RCOM_LNC002287)". The record is from RNAcentral. Lineage: Eukaryota; Viridiplantae; Streptophyta; Magnoliopsida; Malpighiales; Euphorbiaceae.